Molecule: ribosomal RNA, 253 nt
Filed under: uncultured bacterium
Lineage: Bacteria
Description: partial 16S ribosomal RNA
Rfam family: Bacterial small subunit ribosomal RNA
Source: RNAcentral
UACGUAGGGAGCAAGCGUUAUCCGGAUUUAUUGGGCGUAAAGGGAACGCAGGCGGUCUUUUAAGUCUGAUGUGAAAGCCUUCGGCUUAACCGGAGUAGUGCAUUGGAAACUGGGAGACUUGAGUGCAGAAGAGGAGAGUGGAACUCCAUGUGUAGCGGUGAAAUGCGUAGAUAUAUGGAAGAACACCAGUGGCGAAAGCGGCUCUCUGGCCUGUAACUGACACUGAGGCUCGAAAGCGUGGGGAGCAAACAGG